CUUCCUUGAGCAAAACUGAGAUUCGCAGAAAUUCCCAUGGCAUUUGAACGUACGGUAAUUGCUGUUGAUUGUCCUUACAAGGCCAACAAACUGAAUCUUAAGGAAAUGUUGAGAUUAUAGUCUGCCUGGCUCCAAAUCCUGAGCUUUUAAACAAUUUACUACUACAUGAGGUUUCUACACAAAGAAAUAUUCUGCUAAAUAACCAAGUCAUUCCAUCUCUUCCUCCCUCAGCUCUUUCCAUGUCUGGUAACAGGAUUCAAGUCAGAGUUAUAGUUUUGAUAUAAAUUUAUGAAAUCAUUUUGACUCCUUGAGGCUCUUUAUCUUCGAGAUUGGCAAAAGAACACUUUUGAAACUGAACCAGUUUAUGAAAUAGUUCUUCAUCUGAAGAUGAAGGUAGAGUCAUCUGGUGCUGCUUUUUGGAUAUCAUGAUGCUAAGAAAAUAUGACCAGGAGAGAGAGAAAGAAAAGAGAGAGAACUGAUGAUGGGAUGCUUCAUCUUAUCAAAAGCCAGCAAAAUAUUGUAUAUGGGUGGUAAAGGCUAAAUGCUGAGAUAUGCAUGAA
Non-coding RNA from Macaca mulatta (Rhesus monkey), 560 nucleotides. NCBI's taxonomy places the organism in Eukaryota, Metazoa, Chordata, Mammalia, Primates, Cercopithecidae. The record is from RefSeq and is a predicted model, not a curated record.